This 77-nucleotide transfer RNA is filed under the name Candidatus Tremblayella phenacoccinincola. RNAcentral describes it as "Candidatus Tremblaya phenacola tRNA-Arg". It matches the Rfam family "tRNA". Rfam says of the family: Transfer RNA (tRNA) molecules are approximately 80 nucleotides in length. Lineage: Bacteria; Pseudomonadati; Pseudomonadota; Betaproteobacteria. The record is from RNAcentral.
UGCAUUCGUAGCUCAGUUGGACAGAGUACUCGACUACGGAUCGGGUGGUGGGGGGUUCGAGUCCUCUCGAGUGCAUC